UAGGGGUUCUGAGAGGAAGGUCCCCCACAUUGGUACUGAGACACGGACCAAACUCCUACGGGAGGCAGCAGUGAGGAAUAUUGGUCAAUGGACGAGAGUCUGAACCAGCCAAGUCGCGUGAAGGAAGACGGAUCUAUGGUUUGUAAACUUCUUUAGUGCGGGAACAAAGCGGCGUCGUGACGCCGGAUGAGUGUACCGCAAGAAUAAGCAUCGGCUAACUCCGUGCCAGCAGCCGCGGUAAUACGGAGGAUGCGAGCGUCAUCCGGAUUUAUUGGGUUUAAAGGGAGCGCAGGCUGCGAGGCAAGUCAGCGGUCAAAUGUCGGGGCUCAACCCCGGCCUGCCGUUGAAACUGACCUGCUAGAGUUCGAGUGAGGUAUGCGGAAUGCGUUGUGUAGCGGUGAAAUGCAUAGAUAUGACGCAGAACUCCGAUUGCGAAGGCAGCAUACCAACUCGCGACUGACGCUGAGGCUCGAAAGCGUGGGUAUCGAACAGGAUUAGAUACCCUGGUAGUCCACGCAGUAAACGAUGAAUACUAACUGUUCGGAGGGCGACCUCUGAGUGGUAAAGCGAAAGCGUUAAGUAUUCCACCUGGGGAGUACGCCGGCAACGGUGAAACUCAAAGGAAUUGACGGGGGCCCGCACAAGCGGAGGAACAUGUGGUUUAAUUCGAUGAUACGCGAGGAACCUUACCCGGGCUCAAACGUCGGGCGAAUCAUCCUGAAAGGGGUGAGCCAGCAAUGGCGGCCGACGAGGUGCUGCAUGGUUGUCGUCAGCUCGUGCCGUGAGGUGUCGGCUUAAGUGCCAUAACGAGCGCAACCCCCGCGUCCAGUUGCCAGCGAUUGAAGUCGGGCACUCUGGACGGACUGCCGGCGCAAGCCGCGAGGAAGGCGGGGAUGACGUCAAAUCAGCACGGCCCUUACGUCCGGGGCGACACACGUGUUACAAUGGCGUGGAACAGAGGGAAGCCACCUGGCGACAGGGAGCGGAACCCGAAAACACGUCUCAGUUCGGAUUGGAGUCUGCAACUCGACUCCAUGAAGCUGGAUUCGCUAGUAAUCGCGCAUCAGCCAUGGCGCGGUGAAUACGUUCCCGGGCCUUGUACACACCGCCCGUCAAGCCAUGGGAGCCGGGAGUGCCUGAAGGCCGUAACCGCAAGGAGCGGUCAAGGGUAAGACUGGUGACUGGGGCUAAGUCGUAACAAGGUA
This 1205-nucleotide ribosomal RNA is filed under the name metagenome. RNAcentral describes it as "bacterial SSU rRNA". It matches the Rfam family "Bacterial small subunit ribosomal RNA", at positions 284 to 1498 of the family's 1533-position model. The record is from RNAcentral.